This 29-nucleotide non-coding RNA is filed under the name Rattus norvegicus (Norway rat). The record is from RNAcentral. Lineage: Eukaryota; Metazoa; Chordata; Mammalia; Rodentia; Muridae.
AGGGCUGUCACAGGAACAAAUGGAAGUGU